GGUUUUGUAGUGUAGCGGUUAUCACUCCGGAUUCUGAAAGAGUUUUUCGUCAAAUUCAAAAUGAGUUUUCCGGCAACCCCGGUUCGAAUCCGGGCAAGACCU
Exophiala oligosperma is the source of this 102-nucleotide transfer RNA. It matches the Rfam family "tRNA". From Rfam's summary of the family: Transfer RNA (tRNA) molecules are approximately 80 nucleotides in length. Their secondary structure includes four short double-helical elements and three loops (D, anti-codon, and T loops). The record is from Rfam. Lineage: Eukaryota; Fungi; Ascomycota; Eurotiomycetes; Chaetothyriales; Herpotrichiellaceae.